GUAACAAGGUCUCCGUUGGUGAACCAGCGGAGGGAUCAUUACCGAGUUUACAACUCCCAAACCCCUGUGAACAUACCAAUUGUUGCCUCGGCGGAUCAGCCCGCUCCCGGUAAAACGGGACGGCCCGCCAGAGGACCCCUAAACUCUGUUUCUAUAUGUAACUUCUGAGUAAAACCAUAAAUAAAUCAAAACUUUCAACAACGGAUCUCUUGGUUCUGGCAUCGAUGAAGAACGCAGCAAAAUGCGAUAAGUAAUGUGAAUUGCAGAAUUCAGUGAAUCAUCGAAUCUUUGAACGCACAUUGCGCCCGCCAGUAUUCUGGCGGGCAUGCCUGUUCGAGCGUCAUUUCAACCCUCAAGCCCAGCUUGGUGUUGGGACUCGCGAGUCAAAUCGCGUUCCCCAAAUUGAUUGGCGGUCACGUCGAGCUUCCAUAGCGUAGUAGUAAAACCCUCGUUACUGGUAAUCGUCGCGGCCACGCCGUUAAACCCCAACUUCUGAAUGUUGACCUCGGAUCAGGUAGGAAUACCCGCUGAACCUAAGCAUAUCA
RNAcentral lists this unclassified non-coding RNA (545 nucleotides) under Fusarium verticillioides. RNAcentral describes it as "sequence contains 18S rRNA gene, ITS1, 5.8S rRNA gene, ITS2, 28S rRNA gene". The stretch from base 190 to 343 matches the Rfam family "5.8S ribosomal RNA". Lineage: Eukaryota; Fungi; Ascomycota; Sordariomycetes; Hypocreales; Nectriaceae. The record is from RNAcentral.